RNAcentral lists this long non-coding RNA (246 nucleotides) under Manihot esculenta (cassava). RNAcentral describes it as "long non-coding RNA (MESC_LNC007044)". The record is from RNAcentral. Lineage: Eukaryota; Viridiplantae; Streptophyta; Magnoliopsida; Malpighiales; Euphorbiaceae.
UAAUGAGAACCAAUCAAACAAACAGCUAGCUAGCUACUGUCUGUACCAGCAUGUCGCCUUUCUUAAUUGCAUGGUGGUUGUCUGUAAUUAUUGGUAUUUACCCAUUAAUUCCCUCUUACCUCAUAAUCACUAGCUCUCUAUUGAAAUAAAUAAAUAUUUACUUUCCUUUUUCCGAUUAUUUUAAUCAUAAAUUAUUUUUAAAAUAAUUUAUUAUUAAUUUUAAAAAAUUAUUAUUUAACUCUUAUA